Molecule: long non-coding RNA, 920 nt
Filed under: Homo sapiens (human)
Lineage: Eukaryota; Metazoa; Chordata; Mammalia; Primates; Hominidae
Description: MIR9-1 host gene, transcript variant 1 (MIR9-1HG)
Source: RNAcentral
AGUCCAGCCGCAGGGGCCACCCGAACAGUCUCUCCUCCUCACAGAAGCCUGGAGCUGGGCAUCCAAGAAGAAGCAGCCUCAUUUGUUUUCUGGUGUCAUCGUAGGUGGCCACCUAUGGCUUUUGGGAAUGUAAAAAGGGCAGCUCUCUGGCAUGUUCCUGACUGAGGAUCUCAUAACAUUUAACUUGAGGAACUUCCUCCUUUUCCAGCUUUGGGAGUCAAGCUUCUCACCUGGGGCGGGUGGGUUCUGCACCACCCUCCCACCCUCCUUCCUCCGUGUGGACGAUAGAGCCACAUCCAGCACCACGGACAGCUCCCGGGCGCCUUCAUCUCCUCGUCCUCCAGGCAGCACAAGCCAUUGUGGAAUCUCCACCAGGUGUACAGAACGGUGCCUCUGCGUCCUGCCACUCAGGACCUCUCAAGUCCCCGAUGUGAUGGCUCCUCAGCAUGAUCAGGAGAAAUUCCAUGAUCUUGCUUAUUCCUGUCUUGGGAAGUCCUUCUCCAUGUCUAACCAAGAUCUAUAUGGCUAUAGCACCAGCUCUUUGGCUCUUGGCUUGGCAUGGCUAAGUUGGGAGACCAAAAAGAAGAAUGUACUUCAUCUGGUUGGGCUGGAUUCCCUCUGAUAAGCCUUCCCAGUUGACUGAAAGAUGAGGCUAGGCUCUAGCAAGUUGAAGUCAAACCAGCUCCUUCAAGAAGCUUUGAGCAGAAUGAAGUGGGGAGGACCCAGCUUCCAGCCCAGGAAGCCCACUGUACCUGGAGCCAUCUGGGAUAAGACUUUGACCCAUGACUCCCAUAUCCACAGCCUGUCCAUCCUAGCCCAUCCCAGUUUAUCCUGUAUCAUUUGAGCUGGGAUUCCCACAUCCUCUGAGUUGGAAGUCCCAUCUCAAGUCUUCAAUAAAGACUCUUGAAUAUUGAAUCACA